UCAAAGCCCCUCUCCUGCCAUUCCCCAUCAUUGAGGUUCCAUUUCAGUGAGUAGCUCUGGAUAUUCGGGGUCCUUUCUUGAAAAAGACACCCAGAGGAAAGCAGUACAUACUGACUUUCAUGGAUUUUGCCACCCAAUGGACGGAAGCAGUAGCUCUAAGCAACACUAGGACUAAAAGUGCGUGCCAGGCAUUAACAGACUUUUUUGCCAGGACAGGUUGGCCCUCCGACAUCCUUACGGAUUUGGGAACUAAUUUCCUGACAGGGACCAUGCAAAGCCUUUGGGAAGCUCAGGGGGUGAACCACUUGGUUGCCACCCCUUACCACAGUCAAACAAAUGGCCUGAUGGAGAAGCGUCUUGUAGGGAAGGAG
This is a long non-coding RNA of Dermochelys coriacea (leatherback sea turtle), 371 nucleotides long. RefSeq lists it as uncharacterized. The record is from RefSeq and is a predicted model, not a curated record. The transcript is spliced from 3 exons. Lineage: Eukaryota; Metazoa; Chordata; Testudines; Dermochelyidae.